CUGUACUAUCAGGACAUUCAGUAGCAGC
This 28-nucleotide non-coding RNA is filed under the name Mus musculus (house mouse). Lineage: Eukaryota; Metazoa; Chordata; Mammalia; Rodentia; Muridae. The record is from RNAcentral.